Molecule: ribosomal RNA, 388 nt
Filed under: uncultured bacterium
Lineage: Bacteria
Description: bacterial SSU rRNA
Rfam family: Bacterial small subunit ribosomal RNA
Source: RNAcentral
UGGGGAAUAUUGCACAAUGGGCGGAAGCCUGAUGCAGCAACGCCGCGUGAGGGAUGACGGCCUUCGGGUUGUAAACCUCUUUUAGCAGGGAAGUGGUACCUGCAGAAAAGACGCCGGCUAACUACGUGCCAGCAGCCGCGGUAAUACGUAGGGCGCAAGCGUUAUCCGGAAUUAUUGGGCGUAAAGAGCUCGUAGGCGGUUUGUCGCGUCUGCUGUGAAUCUGGGGGCUCAACCCCCAGCCUGCAGUGGGUACGGGCAGACUAGAGUGCGGUAGGGGAGAUUGGAAUUCCUGGUGUAGCGGUGGAAUGCGCAGAUAUCAGGAGGAACACCGAUGGCGAAGGCAGAUCUCUGGGCCGAACUGACGCUGAGGAGCGAAAGGGUGGGGAGC